This is a long non-coding RNA of Heterocephalus glaber (naked mole-rat), 1689 nucleotides long. The record is from Ensembl. NCBI's taxonomy places the organism in Eukaryota, Metazoa, Chordata, Mammalia, Rodentia, Bathyergidae.
GGUGUUUGCUAGGAUGCAUGAGCUAAGCAGCUAAAACAACAGCACCAGGAGAACCAGAAGAGCCUCCGAGAAGGCUCGCAUGUCAGCAGGGAAUACAAUCAAGAUAACUCAGGAAAGAAGAUAAUUCAUAAUUAUAGAAGUAAAAAUGCAUAACUCUUAAUAGUGAUCAAUUCAACAGAGAAGAGAUAGCCUUUGAAAUAUCUGAAUUUUCUUUAAAUAUUAAUGAUGAAGAAUUUAGGGAAAUAUCCACCUAUGGGACCAAGAUGAUUUCAUCCAGCCGCUGUGUCUGGAGGUCGGUCUCUAACUACAGAGUGACAUGGACCUCACACACUGCUUCCUGAAAGCAGUGAUAUACAAACGCUGUUGUGCUAUGUGUUCGCUAUUUAGCAGCGAGCUUUCAGAGUGCAGAUCUGACCUGAACACUGCUUGGUUUUCAUGCACAUUAACACAGGAGAUGGGAGUGAAACAGCAGGGCGUGAACUUCACUUGCUCAUCGGUGAAGCUCAGCAGUAAGGACUAACUACUCAGCUUGAUUGGACAAGAGCUUCUGAAUACUGGAAGAGUAUUUCUUCCAUCUUUUUCAUUCUAGUCACAUUUUCAAAUGCACAGAACCCAUAUUCUUUUCAGUUUGGACUUAAUUGCUAACAUUUAAACACAUUAUCUAUAAUUUGAAAACUAAUUCAAAUUUAUAAGUUCAAGAUAUUUCUAGUAGAUGCAUAUAUCCAGUUUAUAUAUGGAUUAAGAUGUGACUCUGUUUUUCCUUCUCUGACCAAAGAAGUUUUUUUGUUUGUUUUUUUUUCGGGGGGGUAGCUGGGAUCGAACUUGGCUCCUUGCGCUUGCGCAGCAGGUGGCGAAACCACUGAGCUAAGUCCCCAGCCCUGACCAAAGAAGUUUAAAAGAGAUGAAUGGCUACAAUGAUAUUAUAUAAUGAUAUUUUAUGUAUUCAUAUACAGAACAAGGCAUUAUUUUUCAAUAGCAAGUUUAUUUGCCACUUCAUUAAAAAAUUUUUGAGUAGGGAGAAAUCAAUCUACAGUAAGUAACUAAAGCUGCAAUUCUGGAUUUCUUUUUGGUCAAGAUAUCUUUGAAGCUAAUGAACAUUUAGUUUAGACAUAGGUACAAUACUUUGAAUUAAAUAUUUAUGGGUUCGAUAAUACCAGAAUUUAAAAAUGCACAUACACACACAUAAGAACUGAAUUUUCAUAUGAUGUAAAUACUAAUUUACUUUGCAUAAAUAAAACAAGAUGCUGUUUCUUUUCUACACCUCAAAUAGAUUCAUACUACCAAUAAAUGAAAUGUACACCAAAAUAACCAAUAUCAUUUAAAAUUUCCUAUGUUUUACCAGCAAAUUAAACCAAAAUAUCUAAUUAGUCCUGUGUGUUUAAAUGAAGAAAACUUGAUUUAAUUAUUUGCUUACUGGCUUUUUAUUUUUGCAAGACAUGGCUCAUUAAAAGUUGUGAUAGACUCUGCCAAUAAAAUCCAGCAGAUUGCACUUUGGAAACAGGUAAUUAAGUUAAAAUAUAAGACACAUAAAAUUCUGUUUUGUGGUUUUCAUCAGCCAGACACAGAAAGUAAGACAAAUAUUUGAAUUGAAUUAUAUUUUCAAAAUACACAUUUUUUUGAAAUAAAAAAUUUUAAGACCAAAUCGUUUCAUUAUUUAACACAUGUAGCACUGUUAAAUGCUAACUCAGG